Molecule: ribosomal RNA, 484 nt
Filed under: uncultured bacterium
Lineage: Bacteria
Description: partial 16S ribosomal RNA
Rfam family: Bacterial small subunit ribosomal RNA
Source: RNAcentral
AGUGAACGCUGGCGGCGUGCUUAACACAUGCAAGUCGAACGAGAACGGGUUAUAGCUUGCUAUAAUUGUCAGCUAAGUGGCGCACGGGUGAGUAAUGUAUAGGUAAUAUGCCUCUUACUAAGGGAUAACAAAUGGAAACGUUUGCUAAUACCUUAUACUCCUUAUUAACAUAUGUUAAUAAGGGAAAGAUUUAUUGGUAAGAGAUUAGCCUGUAUUGUAUCAGUUAGUUGGUGGGGUAAUGGCUUACCAAGACUAUGACACAUAACUGGUUUGAGAGGAUGAUCAGUCACACUGGAACUGAGACACGGUCCAGACUCCUACGGGAGGCAGCAGUGGGGAAUAUUGCACAAUGGACGAAAGUCUGAUGCAGCAACGCCGCGUGGAGGAUGACACAUUUCGGUGCGUAAACUCCUUUUAUAUGAGAAGAUAAUGACGGUAUUAUAUGAAUAAGCACCGGUUAACUCCGUGCCAGCAGCCGCUGUAA